AGUGACCGCUGGCGGUAGGCCUAACACAUGCAAGUCGAACGGCAGCACAGUAAGAGCUUGCUCUUACGGGUGGCGAGUGGCGGACGAGUGAGGAAUACAUCGGAAUCUACUUUUUCGUGGGGGAUAACGUAGGGAAACUUACGCUAAUACCGCAUACGACCUACGGGUGAAAGCAGGGGAUCUUCGGACCUUGCGCGAUUGAAUGAGCCGAUGUCGGAUUAGCUAGUUGGCGGGGUAAAGGCCCACCAAGGCGACGAUCCGUAGCUGGUCUGAGAGGAUGAUCAGCCACACUGGAACUGAGACACGGUCCAGACUCCUACGGGAGGCAGCAGUGGGGAAUAUUGGACAAUGGGCGCAAGCCUGAUCCAGCCAUACCGCGUGGGUGAAGAAGGCCUUCGGGUUGUAAAGCCCUUUUGUUGGGAAAGAAAAGCAGCAGGUUAAUACCCCGCUGUUCUGACGGUACCCAAAGAAUAAGCACCGGCUAACUUCGUG
This 492-nucleotide ribosomal RNA is filed under the name uncultured bacterium. Its description in RNAcentral is "partial 16S ribosomal RNA". It matches the Rfam family "Bacterial small subunit ribosomal RNA", at positions 29 to 507 of the family's 1533-position model. The record is from RNAcentral.